AUUUACCACAAGGGGAGCUGAUGAAGUCAGCUGAGAUUGUGCACUUGUUGCACUAACUCUAUGAACCUGUAAGCUAGUACUUGCGUAGGGAUGUGGAUAGAAACCGAC
Molecule: regulatory RNA element, 108 nt
Rfam family: TPP riboswitch aptamer (THI element)
About the family: Vitamin B(1) in its active form thiamin pyrophosphate (TPP) is an essential coenzyme that is synthesised by coupling of pyrimidine and thiazole moieties in bacteria.
Source: Rfam